This 253-nucleotide ribosomal RNA is filed under the name uncultured bacterium. RNAcentral's name for it is "partial 16S ribosomal RNA". It matches the Rfam family "Bacterial small subunit ribosomal RNA", at positions 524 to 776 of the family's 1533-position model. The record is from RNAcentral.
UACGUAGGGGGCAAGCGUUGUCCGGAAUCAUUGGGCGUAAAGGGCUCGUAGGCGGUCUGUUGCGUCGGGUGUGAAAACUCAGGGCUUAACCCUGAGCCUGCUUCCGAUACGGGCAGACUAGAGGUAUGCAGGGGAGAACGGAAUUCCUGGUGUAGCGGUGAAAUGCGCAGAUAUCAGGAGGAACACCGGUGGCGAAGGCGGUUCUCUGGGCAUUACCUGACGCUGAGGAGCGAAAGUGUGGGGAGCGAACAGG